RNAcentral lists this ribosomal RNA (252 nucleotides) under uncultured bacterium. RNAcentral's name for it is "partial 16S ribosomal RNA". It matches the Rfam family "Bacterial small subunit ribosomal RNA", at positions 524 to 776 of the family's 1533-position model. The record is from RNAcentral.
AACGUAGGAGACGAACGUUAUCCGGAGUUACUGGGCGUAAAGGGCGUGUAGGCGGUUUGUUAAGUCUGGCGUGAAAGCUCUCGGCUAAACCGGGAGAGGUCGUUGGAUACUGGCAAACUUGAGGAUGGUAGAGGCGUGUGGAAUUCCGGGUGUAGUGGUGAAAUGCGUAGAGAUCCGGAGGAACACCAGUGGCAAGGCGACACGCUGGGCCAUACCUGACGCUAAAGCGCGACAGCAUGGGGAGCAAACGGG